RNAcentral lists this ribosomal RNA (306 nucleotides) under uncultured bacterium. RNAcentral describes it as "partial 16S ribosomal RNA". It matches the Rfam family "Bacterial small subunit ribosomal RNA", at positions 507 to 807 of the family's 1533-position model. The record is from RNAcentral.
GACAGCAGCAGCCGCGGGAAUACGAAGGGUGCAAGCGUUAAUCGGAAUUACUGGGCGUAAAGCGUGCGUAGGCGGUUUGUUAAGUCUGUUGUGAAAUCCCCGGGCUCAACCUGGGAAUGGCAAUGGAUACUGGCAAGCUAGAGUGUGGUAGAGGAUAGUGGAAUUUCCGGUGUAGCAGUGAAAUGCGUAGAGAUCGGAAGGAACAUCUGUGGCGAAGGCGACUAUCUGGGCCAACACUGACACUGAGGCACGAAAGCGUGGGGAGCAAACAGGAUUAGAUACCCCCGUAGUCCCUGUCUCUUAUAC